AAAUAUUUUUUUUGUAUAUUUA
Molecule: microRNA, 22 nt
Filed under: Hyalella azteca
Lineage: Eukaryota; Metazoa; Arthropoda; Malacostraca; Amphipoda; Hyalellidae
Description: miR-972
Source: RNAcentral